CAGAACUGGCGAUGCGGG
This 18-nucleotide small nuclear RNA is filed under the name Arabidopsis thaliana (thale cress). Its description in RNAcentral is "snRNA_12971". Lineage: Eukaryota; Viridiplantae; Streptophyta; Magnoliopsida; Brassicales; Brassicaceae. The record is from RNAcentral.